CCUACGGGAGGCAGCAGUGGGGAAUAUUGCACAAUGGGGGGAACCCUGAUGCAGCGACGCCGCGUGAGUGAAGAAGUAUUUCGGUAUGUAAAGCUCUAUCAGCAGGGAAGAAAAUGACGGUACCUGACUAAGAAGCCCCGGCUAACUACGUGCCAGCAGCCGCGGUAAUACGUAGGGGGCAAGCGUUAUCCGGAUUUACUGGGUGUAAAGGGAGCGCAGACGGCUGUGUACGUCUGGAGUGAAAGGCGGGGGCCCAACCCCCGGACUGCUCUGGAAACUGGAAAGCUGGAGUGCAGGAGAGGUAAGCGGAAUGCCUAGUGUAGCGGUGAAAUGCGGAGAUAUUAGGAGGAACACCAGUGGCGAAGGCGGCUUACUGGACUGCAACUGACGUUGAGGCUCGAAAGCGUGGGGAGCAAACAGGAUUAGAUACCCUGGUAGUC
This 440-nucleotide ribosomal RNA is filed under the name uncultured bacterium. RNAcentral's name for it is "partial 16S ribosomal RNA". It matches the Rfam family "Bacterial small subunit ribosomal RNA", at positions 338 to 795 of the family's 1533-position model. The record is from RNAcentral.